CCGUACUAGAUGGGGCGGUAGCGGUGCCCUGUAACCUGCAACCCGCUAUAGCAGGAUCGAUGCCGCGCUGAGGGUCUAUUCUUUUGGGGUCUGGCCCUGGUAAGUGGUGUUGACAGUCGGGUCUUACGCAAUGGAGCUUUGUGAACCCCGUCAGGUCCGGGAGGAAGCAGCGGUAAGCAAAUGUCUUCAUGUGCCGUAAGGGAGCCUGGCUCGAGCUAACUGUCAGGGUAACGCCUGGGGGGAUAGAUUCGAUGCAGGUGUACGG
RNAcentral lists this signal recognition particle RNA (265 nucleotides) under Halanaerobiaceae bacterium. RNAcentral's name for it is "signal recognition particle sRNA large type". It matches the Rfam family "Bacterial large signal recognition particle RNA". Rfam says of the family: The signal recognition particle (SRP) is a universally conserved ribonucleoprotein involved in the co-translational targeting of proteins to membranes. Lineage: Bacteria; Bacillati; Bacillota; Clostridia; Halanaerobiales; Halanaerobiaceae. The record is from RNAcentral.